CGGCGGACGGGUGAGUAACGCGUGGGUAACCUGCCUCAUACAGGGGGAUAACAGUUGGAAACGGCUGCUAAUACCGCAUAAGCGCACAGUACCGCAUGGUACCGUGUGAAAAACUCCGGUGGUAUGAGAUGGACCCGCGUCUGAUUAGCUAGUUGGUGGGGUAACGGCCUACCAAGGCGACGAUCAGUAGCCGACCUGGGAGGGUGACCGGCCACAUUGGGACUGAGACACGGCCCAA
RNAcentral lists this ribosomal RNA (238 nucleotides) under uncultured bacterium. Its description in RNAcentral is "partial 16S ribosomal RNA". It matches the Rfam family "Bacterial small subunit ribosomal RNA", at positions 96 to 334 of the family's 1533-position model. The record is from RNAcentral.